Molecule: long non-coding RNA, 209 nt
Organism: Lampris incognitus (smalleye Pacific opah)
Lineage: Eukaryota; Metazoa; Chordata; Actinopteri; Lampriformes; Lampridae
Exons: 3
Source: RefSeq, a predicted model, not a curated record
AGAGACGCUCAUCAAGGCAAGGUGAUGAUUGUCAGAGGGAAAGGGAAAAUGCAGCAUGAGCUCCAGAAGUGCCCGGGGAGUUGCUGUGAUGUCUUGUGGGGUUGUUAGUUUCAACAACUUAACUGCAGGCCUUCACUCAACCUGCAGAUCAAGCAUUGGAACAAGGUUUACGGCAGAGAACAGGCACCCAACGGAGAGGCAAGUCUACC